This 5903-nucleotide long non-coding RNA is filed under the name Linum usitatissimum (flax). Its description in RNAcentral is "long non-coding RNA (LUSI_LNC003898)". Lineage: Eukaryota; Viridiplantae; Streptophyta; Magnoliopsida; Malpighiales; Linaceae. The record is from RNAcentral.
UUCUCUCUUGCCCGGUUUAAAUAAUGGAUCGUUUGGCAUUAUAGUCCAGUUGGUUUCGUCGUGUGUUGGUGACUCAAAAAUACUGAAUUCUAAUGUCGUACAGCCCCACAAACGGGCACCGGUAAUAUAAUGUUACAUUUCCUCGAUUACUGAUAACUACCUUUCCAUCAUAUGGCAAACAAAGAAUCAUGAUUCAAACCAAAAUGUUUCAUCCAGAUCAGAAUGAAUGAAAUUGUUUACUGCAUUGUAAUCAUUGCUUCAGAUCCUCGGAAUAGAUAAGUCAUGUUAAUGGACAAUGAUCAAACAUACAUUUCCAUCAUACCAACAAUUUCGCAGCCCCUGUGAUAUCGGCUCGUUGUGUAUGCUUUAGGGUUACCUGGUACGAUCAAACCACCAACAUCGGAUUCAAUUAGGGGGAAACUUAUGCUUGUCUACGCCUUUUCGAGCCGUCCUCUGCAUAGUACUUCCAUUUAGAGUGAUCCAGGCUGCUUAUAUCAUCUAGCUCCGCUAUGGCAAGAAGGUACUCAGUUAGCUUCCUAAGCUCCUGAUCGCUAUCGCGGUUUGCAUGAGCCUUCCUGAAGGGCUUGAUUGUUAAACCGUUUUGAGGGUUCAUCACGAAGUUCCGUCUCAAAUCAUCGAACAUUAUGGUGUUCUUCGGACCGUAAAACUGCAACGCAGUAAAAUUGUGUUUGUUUAACAUGAAGAUCCUUAGAAAGAGAACUCCAGAAUGACAAAGAAAAUAAAUCAAAUUCAAGCAGUUCCAUAGUAACUAUAAGAGUUUCACCUCGGGGAAAUGAGCCCAUAUCAAUCCAAGGGGCUUGCAGUCGAAGAUCCCACGGGCAUCUGAUUGUACAGUGAUCAUACCUAAAUGGUCCAGGAGAGCGGUGAUUUUGUAGUUGGGAUUGCUUAGCACUCCAAGCUCUCCCAUCUUUAAUUCAACCCACUUCAUGCUGUACAAUCAUACACAAAACUCAAUAACUAGAGCUGUCAUCUAUAACGCGUUCACCCCACGAGCAUUAAUAUACAAGAAUGGCCAAGAAAAAUAGGGCAAGCACUUCAUUGAAGGAGGACAAUAUCAUUCAUACCUGGUUGCAGACCAUAUCAUUAUAUCAUAUUCUGCAUAAGCGGCUGGAAGGAAUUCAUGGAGAUCUGCAGAAGAAAAUGUUAGAAAGCAGAAACCGGAGAAAACAAUAACCAAAGACAGUAUACACACAUGGACGCAUUAGUUCCAGAGGGUUCUCUGCUGUUGACCGGUGAUCGAAAAGGGUGUAGUCAAUAUCCAGCACAAGCAACUUCUUUCCUUCACGGCAUGGAUUGCGAAGCUUGAUCUAUAAUACAACCACAUGAAAUCAGACAAUUUAAGAUAACUACUACAAUCUAAACCCAAGAAGACAGAAAACAGAUGGUGAUGGAAUGAAGAUAGAUUGUAUAUUCAUCUUUUCCUCAUCUGAGUUCAUUAUUAGCCCUUGUUUAGGUAAAAGUAAGUGUUUCACCGGGAGGAAGUGCUUGAAUAGGAAUCAUUUUGGCGCAAGAGAAAUACUUUUUCGUAGUUAGUAUUAUGAUUCAUUGUUUCUUAGUUGCAAUAGGAUUAAUUUCAGUUCUUGAAGCAUGAGAAUUUAUCAAAUUUCAAUAAGAAUUCUCAGAGUUACUGCAAGAGCUUUUCUUGUGUUUUCUUUGCCUUAUCCAAACCUCCAUUUUCCAUCUCUAUUCGAAAUUUCCAGCAACCCUUUUUCAUCUAACUGAAAUCAAUCCGAAACAGAAUACAACAAUUUGGGAGACUCUUCAGGCCAAAGUUACAUCACAUCAUAGCUAAAGUAUUCAUCUGACAAUUUUACCAGAAAAAUUGGAAACUUCCGUAAUUGACACAGUGUUCUUCGUCAAUACGAACAAGUGAACCUGAAGCCCAUCAAUUACCAAUUUACCAGAAAUGGAGCAUGAAGUUAAGAAAUGUACCUUGUAUUGAUCCACACGUCUCUUCAACUUCUGCUUAUUAACUUCCUUGUCCUUGAUAUCGAUGGCUUCAUCUUGUCCAAGCUGAAAAUCAUCGACGAUCUCCGGAUCAUCCACUUGGUCCACGAUUAUGUCAUCCUCUACAGUUCUGCAGAACACCAAAGUUGGACACUUGGAAAGCUACAAUGGAAUCCAAUUCGAAAAUUUAGAUGAUAAAGAGAGGAGAAUCGAACCCGAUCAUCGUCAUCUUGAGCGAGGACUUGAGCGGAAGCUGGGAGAGGAGAAGAGAGUCGUCGGCGAGCUUGUUGCCGACUUUAGGGUACAAGAGCUUCUGUCGUUUGGGGAGUACAUUAGUGGCUUCGCAAAUCCGUCGCUUCAAUUCAGCCACCGAAUCGUCUCCGCACACUCGGACGGUGUACUCCUUGCCGCUCCACUUCACUGACAGAGUCAGUUCCUCUACCAUCGCCGACGCCGAAGACGACUCCGCCGCCAUGCUGUUUCCACUCGAUUGUUUUUUUCUGAGUUCUCUUUUUCAAAAAUGUAUACCGUCAAUUGAGCAGGAGGUAAGUUCGUCAAGAUUUAGGGUGACUAAACAACAACCUUAAUUGACAGACAUACAAUGUUUAAUUAUAUUUUUUUUGUUUGAGCUGCUUCGAGUUCUUAGGUCAAUUUAUCGGUCUUAUGCGGUUUUAAAUUCUUCCAUACGAACUUGUUCCGAUCGACUGAUUAGUAUGGCCCUUGAAGCAUUCUCAUCCUUAAUUUUUAGUAAUUAUUAAAGUGAAGUAUAAAAUAAUAUGACAUUUACUUAACAAUUGUUAGAGAUGUCGAAAUACUUGUUAAUUAAUAACCUUGUUAAUUUAGCAAGUUAAUUAGCAAUGCUACCUAGGUAAAUUGUUACAUUUUUAAGAGUUGAAUUUAUGAAUAGAAAAUAAAUUAAAGAUAAAUAAUAUGUAAUUUACUUUCAUUGUGUUGUAAAAAUGAUGAAUAGAAAUUGUUAAUAAAUUAUUGGGAUGGAGGAGAUUAAAAAUUGCCGAAUGACUUAAUUGUUAAAAUUGUGGCGAUAAAAUUCCUUAAUUAUAAUAAUAUGAUGAUAAAGUUCCUAUUAAAAAAAUAUUAAAUGAAAAUGAUCUUACAAGUCACGUUGGCUCUUUAGAUAUUUGUUUGAUGCUUUUGGUGAUGUUUAACAUGUAGAUAGUUAAGAGACAGGUGUUUUUCAGGUUAUCAUAAGGGAGCAUUUGAUAUGUGAGAAGUGACGUAAUCAUCAAAUAAGUCUUUGACUUUCAUAACGAUUUGUAUUUAUUUGCAUUUUGAGGUGGUUGUGUUUAAUAUUCAUUGUUUGCUGCCAGGUUCGAACGCUGGACCAAAUGACAGAUAAUAGUUUAUUACCCUUUGUUAGUCCAACUGUCCAAGUUAGGAACAUGUAUGUUAAUGGAUUCAUCGAGUGAUGAAAUAUGUUCGUUCANNNNNNNNNNNNNNNNNNNNNNNNNNNNNNNNNNNNNNNNNNNNNNNNNNNNNNNNNNNNNNNNNNNNNNNNNNNNNNNNNNNNNNNNNNNNNNNNNNNNNAGUUGUACUUCCUUCAAAUGGAAAACACUAUAAUCUCAAAAAAACCGGCGAACAUAAUUUAGCCAUAAGUCUCAAAGACACGUAGACACAUAUUACUCGUUGUCUAAACAAUUUUUAAAUUAUGUUAACAAAUGAAUGAUAUAAAAAUUUAAUUAAAACCCUCUUUCAAUAACUCAAAUUAUUGAAUACUAUAAAACCUAAUUAUAAACAUUUCUAAACAACACGAAUUAUUAAAAUGCAACCGACAACGAUUCUUCGCACUCUCCAUACUUGCUUCUCUGCUUUCCUAACUAUUUGAUUGUAUUAUUACACAAGAUAAGUGACCUACAUAUAUCUCAGAUUACCAUGCUAUUGCUGUAUUAUAUUUCUCUUUACUAACAACUGAAUGAAUAUAUUUACAUGUCACGAACACAAAUGGAUCGAGUUCGAAUCCAGACCAAAAAUAGUUCAUCUCCCAACUUCAGUAGCUAGGCAUGAUUUUCCCAUACAUCAUCGAUUCCUUCCCCUUUCAUGCAUCCGAACUGUGAACUUACUCGCGACAGAACAUCAAUGGUGGAAAUUGACUUUCUGAUACUAUCUGAUGAUUUUAUUUGAUUGACUUACCUAAGCAUAUCAUUGCUGUACAGCUGCGGCCCACUGAGAGCCGGAGAGACGCUAAAAGCAUGGCUUGCAUCACCGCCACCGGAGAAAGAAGGAUGCGAAAGAGGCAGUGGCCGAUCCGGCAAUGGCGGAACUUCCACAUCACCUUCCAGCAUCUUCAACGCGUCCAAUAUAGUCGGCCUCAAAGCAACCAUAACAUGAGCACACAGAAUCCCCACCAGCACAAACCUCUCCAUCACCACCUUCUGAUUCGACGUCGAAUCCUCACCGCCCCUUAAUAACAAGGACCGAUCCAGCGCCUGAUCGAGUUUCCCGGCCUUGACUCGCGACCAAGCCCAGUCGGUGAUCAGAAACCCGUCCGAGGAAGACAUGUCGAGAGCCUUCCUACCGCACAUUAUCUCGAGCACAACGACUCCAAAGCUGUAGACGUCGCUCUUUUCUGUCAGCUGGCCGUAGAGUGCGUACUCGGGGGCUAAGUAGCCGUGAGUGCCCGCCACUCUGGUGGUGAGAUGAGACUGCCCUUCGAGGCUUUGCUUAGCUAGCCCGAAAUCGGCGACUCUAGCUCUCAUGUCAGAGUCGAGUAGUAUGUUUGUGCCCUUGAUGUCUCUGUGGAAAAUUGCUGGCUUCACUCCGUGAUGCAAGUAAGCUAGCCCUUUCGCCACGUCCAGUAUUAUGUUCUUCCUCUGUUGCCAACUCAAUGGCCCCACUUCUUCUUUUCCUAAAAAGUCAUCGGCAGAUUCAAAAAAGUUUGGUACAUUGGGUCAGAUUGUUAAUAAAAAUGAAAAAUACAUUAGGUCGUAUAUAGAAACUAUCCUAAUCAACAUUUAGGUCAAAUUUAGGGGUUAAUUUUUGACACCGGACCAAUCCUGUCACAUGCAUUUUCUACCCCACAAAGUGACAUUUCCAACUCCAUCGGAUUUGGGGCUCAAUUCUACCCGCCCAUUUCUAGCCAAAUUUCAUUUGGAGAGGUAUAUCAGAUUUGGCACCAAAUUCCAGAGGACUUUGAAUUCCAGCACGGAAUUUGCCGAAUUUGGGGGUUAAUUCUGAACAUCGGAGCAAUCCUGCCGGAUACAUUUUCCACUGCCACAAAAUGACAUCCUCAAUUCCCCGCCUAUUUCUAGCCGUUGAAUUCUGUUUGGAAAUGUACAAAAUUGCCAAAUCUGACAGGUGUCACGGAUUCCGGCCUUAAUUGGUCGUUGAGGGGCGGGAAACGUGACCUUAAAUAUAAAGAACACAUAUUAUUAGAUAGUUAUGAACCUCGAGAUGGGUUUGACCCUGGUCUGGGAGAGGCUGCCUCUAGAUUCGUCGCGACUACCGGGUACAAAUGGUCAUCAAGGUUGCCAUUCUCCAUGUAAUCAUACACAAGGUACCUCUGACUCUCGCCUGCAUCGACAUCGUCGUCCCCUCCGCGGCCAUCGAUCACGCAACAGCCUCGAAGCGGGACCAAAUUCCGGUGCUUCAAGUUACUGAUGAUCUCAAUCUCGUUCCGAAACUCAGCAUCACCCUGGAAAUCAGACUCGAGAACCCUCUUAACAGCCACACUCGUCCCGUCAUAGAGAACACCCUUGUACACAAUUCCAAACCCACCUCUCCCAAUGAAGUUGCUGUCCGAAAAGCCAUUGGUUGCCUUCUCGAGCUCAUCGAUCUUGAACCAAAUCGAACCGGUAUUCGGCCUCAAUCGUGGCCUGGAUAAUGCUUGUUCUUCUUUCCUAAUUAGCCUCCUCUUCCUUCUCUUAUCGUACCAAAACCAGAAACCUCCUGCCAUAGACACAGCGAUCAAACCAGCAACA